This 1125-nucleotide ribosomal RNA is filed under the name Triticum aestivum (bread wheat). Its description in RNAcentral is "partial small subunit ribosomal RNA". Lineage: Eukaryota; Viridiplantae; Streptophyta; Magnoliopsida; Poales; Poaceae. The record is from RNAcentral.
AUGGCGCCGCAGACGCCUAUCAUACCCCCUGCCGCCUUGGACGGCGACGGCCUUCCUUCCUGGAAACCCAACCCAUUCUCCGCCGACCCUACCUUCGACAUGGGCUUCCUCAAGGCAGCCUUCGACGGCGACCUCCGCCUCGUCAAGAGAGGCGGCGAGGGUGCUGGGAGGGGGGCGGAAGGCCGUCGCCUCGCCGAGAAGCUGGGGGCAGUGAGGGACGGCAUAUGCAUAGGCUUACUGCACAUGGCGGCCCUAGGCGGGAGCCUGCCCGUGUGCCGCUACCUGGUCGAGGACAUCCGGCUGGAUGUCGAUGAUGUAGGCCCGAUGGGCGAAACACCUUUGACCUGUGCGAUUAGCCGUCAGAAUGCGUACUUGGUGUGUUACUUUCUCGACCAUGGUGCUGAUACAGAGAAGCUCAACAGCGAGGGCUAUACGCCUCUCCAUUUUGCCACCAAUCAAGGAUACGUUGACAUAGUAGAGCUCUUACUCUCAAAAGGAGCUAACCCUGAUGGACUAAGUCAUGGUGGGACAGCACUGCAUGUUGCUGCUAAUAAUGGGCAUGAUGAUAUUAUUGUGAAGGUUUUGUUGGAUCACCAUGCAGAUCAUAAGAUAGCUUUGAGUGGUACUGAUUCUACAGCUCUUGUUAUUGCUACUGCCGCGUGCUCACUAAAAUGUGUGAAGCUCCUGCUUGAGGCUGGUGCUGAUGUGGAUGGUAUUGGUAAAGAUACACCCUUAAUAAUUGCUGCCCUUGCUGGCUCGACUGACAUCCUUAAGUGCUUAGUUCUGGCUGGUGCAGAUGCUAAUGAUAUUGACAGUUAUGGGCACACUCCUAUAGAAAUUGCUGCACGUUCUGGUAUGCGUGAACAUGUCAAAAUUCUAUUUCCCGUCACUUCUCGUAUUCCUAAAGUACGUGACUGGAGUGUUGAUGGAAUCAUUGGUAAUGUAAAAUCAGUGCCCUCAUCAAAGAAAACUAUGCUUGCUAGUGCAAAAUCUAAAGCACAUGAGGCAUUCAAGAAUGGGAAACAUCUUAUUGCAGCAAGAAUUUAUGGAGAGGUACAUUCUUGCAUCUUGCUUGUUCUAGUUUAUGGACUCAUUGACUGCUUAGGACAAGUUGAAAGACUAUAG